Long non-coding RNA from Drosophila bipectinata, 450 nucleotides. RefSeq lists it as uncharacterized. NCBI's taxonomy places the organism in Eukaryota, Metazoa, Arthropoda, Insecta, Diptera, Drosophilidae. The record is from RefSeq and is a predicted model, not a curated record.
GCUAAUUGAUUCCUUGCUGAAAAAGAUAAACUGAGAAGCCUUUUCUUUUUUUUCGCUGAGCUAAUUGUGGAAAGACAUGAUAGAUCUUAACAUCGGAAAAAAGCCAGAAGGUCUGCUGCAUAUGGCAAAAUUUAUCAUUUGAAGGCUAAGGAGAAAAAGUUAUCAACUGGUAAUAUGGCUGAUGUUCAAUAGUGAAGAGGUGAAGCUUAGCCUUGCAAACGCAAAAUUUGAUCUUACUUUUGAGUGGCGCAAAAGUUUCUUUUUCUAGGACGAUACAAGUGUAGCUACACUUAGCUUAGGAGGAAUUGCCCAUUCUUAAGCAGAAUUGUGAAGACAAAUUGAUUGUGGCAAUUUUUUCUCUCAUUUCGUUAAAAGGAAGUCCAGAGUUUUAUCUUACUAAAAACAUUCCCUCAACAAAGCGAAGAUAAAAAGGACGCACGUGAUUCACGC